RNAcentral lists this ribosomal RNA (631 nucleotides) under Ferdinandcohnia sp. QZ13. RNAcentral describes it as "Fredinandcohnia sp. QZ13 partial 23S ribosomal RNA". It matches the Rfam family "Bacterial large subunit ribosomal RNA", at positions 2296 to 2925 of the family's 2925-position model. The record is from RNAcentral. Lineage: Bacteria; Bacillati; Bacillota; Bacilli; Caryophanales; Bacillaceae.
AGUAACGGAGGCGCCCAAAGGUUCCCUCAGAAUGGUUGGAAAUCAUUCGUAGAGUGUAAAGGCACAAGGGAGCUUGACUGCGAGACCUACAAGUCGAGCAGGGACGAAAGUCGGGCUUAGUGAUCCGGUGGUUCCGCAUGGAAGGGCCAUCGCUCAACGGAUAAAAGCUACCCCGGGGAUAACAGGCUUAUCUCCCCCAAGAGUCCACAUCGACGGGGAGGUUUGGCACCUCGAUGUCGGCUCAUCGCAUCCUGGGGCUGUAGUCGGUCCCAAGGGUUGGGCUGUUCGCCCAUUAAAGCGGUACGCGAGCUGGGUUCAGAACGUCGUGAGACAGUUCGGUCCCUAUCCGUCGUGGGCGUAGGAAAUUUGAGAGGAGCUGUCCUUAGUACGAGAGGACCGGGAUGGACACACCGCUGGUGUACCAGUUGUCCUGCCAAGGGCAUAGCUGGGUAGCUAUGUGUGGAAGGGAUAAGUGCUGAAAGCAUCUAAGCAUGAAGCCCCCCUCAAGAUGAGAUUUCCCAUAGUGUUAAACUAGUAAGAUCCCUCGAAGAUGACGAGGUUGAUAGGUCAGAGGUGGAAGCAUGGUGACAUGUGCAGCUGACUGAUACUAAUCGAUCGAGGACUUAACCAA